This 379-nucleotide long non-coding RNA is filed under the name Ananas comosus (pineapple). RNAcentral's name for it is "long non-coding RNA (ACOM_LNC023379)". Lineage: Eukaryota; Viridiplantae; Streptophyta; Magnoliopsida; Poales; Bromeliaceae. The record is from RNAcentral.
UAUAAAAUUGCAGAAAACCCCUCCCACUUCUACUCGCUCAAACCAAUCAAAACUGGUAAUUCGCGACACUGCGUACCGGUACUCACACACGCAUACCAGUACACGGCCUCUAUUUCCAGUACCCGGUUCCCAGUCCCGCAAAACUCGAACGUUGGAUUUUCGGACACUCCACUACAUACCGGUACUUAGUCUCGCGCAUCGAUACGCAAUACUAAAGCUUACGACUUUAGUACCAGUACCCAAACUCGAUUCCCUCUAAACCAGAGAGCUGAUUUUCUAGUAUUUAUACUACGUACCAGUACUCUAUCUCGUGUAUCGGUACCCAAUGCAAAAUCUACGAAUUUUUUUUCGGUACACAAAUCUCAGUACCUCAACCCGA